ACAAGCAGUGGGAGCACAGAGCAAUCUGUGUGACUGCGUACCUUUUGUAUAAUGGGUCAGCGACUUAUAUUCUGUAGCAAGGUUAACCGAAUAGGGGAGCCGAAGGGAAACCGAGUCUUAACUGGGCGUUAAGUUGCAGGGUAUAGACCCGAAACCCGGUGAUCUAGCCAUGGGCAGGUUGAAGGUUGGGUAACACUAACUGGAGGACCGAACCGACUAAUGUUGAAAAAUUAGCGGAUGACUUGUGGCUGGGGGUGAAAGGCCAAUCAAACCGGGAGAUAGCUGGUUCUCCCCGAAAGCUAUUUAGGUAGCGCCUCGUGAAUUCAUCUCCGGGGGUAGAGCACUGUUUCGGCAAGGGGGUCAUCCCGACUUACCAACCCGAUGCAAACUGCGAAUACCGGAGAAUGUUAUCACGGGAGACACACGGCGGGUGCUAACGUCCGUCGUGAAGAGGGAAACAACCCAGACCGCCAGCUAAGGUCCCAAAGUCAUGGUUAAGUGGGAAACGAUGUGGGAAGGCCCAGACAGCCAGGAUGUUGGCUUAGAAGCAGCCAUCAUUUAAAGAAAGCGUAAUAGCUCACUGGUCGAGUCGGCCUGCGCGGAAGAUGUAACGGGGCUAAACCAUGCACCGAAGCUGCGGCAGCGACACUGUGUGUUGUUGGGUAGGGGAGCGU
RNAcentral lists this ribosomal RNA (674 nucleotides) under Escherichia coli. Its description in RNAcentral is "partial 23S ribosomal RNA". It matches the Rfam family "Bacterial large subunit ribosomal RNA", at positions 566 to 1239 of the family's 2925-position model. Lineage: Bacteria; Pseudomonadati; Pseudomonadota; Gammaproteobacteria; Enterobacterales; Enterobacteriaceae. The record is from RNAcentral.